RNAcentral lists this ribosomal RNA (462 nucleotides) under uncultured beta proteobacterium. Its description in RNAcentral is "bacterial SSU rRNA". It matches the Rfam family "Bacterial small subunit ribosomal RNA", at positions 202 to 645 of the family's 1533-position model. The record is from RNAcentral. Lineage: Bacteria; Pseudomonadati; Pseudomonadota; Betaproteobacteria.
GAAAGCAGGGGAUCGUAAGACCUUGCGCUUUUGGAGCGGCCGAUGUCUGAUUAGCUAGUUGGUGGGGUAAUGGCCUACCAAAGCUUCGAUCAGUAGCUGGUCUGAGAGGACGGCCAGCCACACUGGGACUGAGACACGGCCCAGACUCCUACGGGAGGCAGCAGUGGGGAAUUUUGGACAAUGGGCGCAAGCCUGAUCCAGCCAUGCCGCGUGAGUGAAGAAGGCCUUCGGGUUGUAAAGCUCUUUCAGCCGGGAAGAAAAGGCUGCGACUAAUAAUCGCAGUUCAUGACGGUACCGGAAGAAGAAGCACCGGCUAACUACGUGCCAGCAGCCGCGGUAAUACGUAGGGUGCGAGCGUUAAUCGGAAUUACUGGGCGUAAAGGGUGCGCAGGCGGUUUUGUAAGUCAGAUGUGAAAUCCCCGGGCUUAACCUGGGAACUGCGUUUGAAACUACAAAGCUAGA